GAAUCCGAGCAUCCUACCCCCGAUUCCGAUAUGACCAACUAAUACACCUCCUCUGAAAAAAUUUCCUCCCACUGACACUAGCUCUCUGCAUAUGACACAUCUCACUGCCCAUUAUAACAGCAGGCAUCCCACCCCAAACAUAAAAUAAGAAAUAUGUCUGACAAAAGAAUUACUUUGAUAGAGUAAAUAAUAGAGGUUUGAGUCCUCUUAUUUCUAGAAUAAUAGGAAUCGAACAUACCCUUAAGAAUUCAAAAUUCUCCGUGCUACCACACUACACCAUAAUCUAUAGUAAGGUCAGCUAAAUAAGCUACCGGGCCCAUACCCCGGAAAUGUUGGUUCAUAUCCUUCCCAUACUAAUUAACCCAUUCGUCUCUAUCACCCUACUAACAACCAUCGUCCUAAGCACAACAAUUGUAACCAUUAGCUCCCAUUGACUGUUCGCCUGAAUUGGACUAGAAAUAAAUAUGAUAGCCAUCAUUCCUAUCAUAAUAAAAAAACCUAAUCCUCGAGCCACAGAAGCCUCAGCCAAAUACUUUCUAACACAAGCCACAGCAUCCUCAUUACUUAUACUAGCAAUUAUUAUUAACCUAAUACACUCCAGCCAAUGAACCAUCAUAAAAUUAUUCGACCCAACAGCAUCCAUUCUAAUAACAAUAGCUUUAGCCAUUAAACUAGGAUUAUCCCCUUUUCACUUUUGAGUACCAGAAGUUACACAAGGUGUUCCCCUAAGCACAGGACUAAUCCUACUUACGUGACAAAAACUCGCACCCAUCUCAAUCCUUUAUCAAAUUUCACCAUCAAUCAAUCUACACCUAAUAAUUACUAUAUCCUUCCUAUCAAUUCUAAUCGGAGGCUGAGGUGGACUAAACCAAACACAACUCCGAAAAAUCAUAGCCUAUUCAUGAAUUGCUCACAUAGGAUGAAUAACCGCUAUUUUAUUAUACAACCCAGCCCUCACCCUACUAAAUCUAUUAAUUUACAUUGUAAUAACCUUCACCAUAUUUAUGCUACUUAUCCAAAACUCCACUACCACCACACUACUACUAUCCCAAACAUGAAAUACAAUACCUGUUAUAACAACCUUUACUAUGCUUACCCUACUCUCCAUAGGAGGACUUCCUCCACUCACAGGCUUUAUACCCAAAUGAAUGAUUAUUCAAGAACUAACAAAAAACGACACCCUCAUCCUACCCACCCUCAUAGCCAUCACAGCUCUACUCAACCUAUAUUUCUAUAUACGCCUUACCUACUCCACAGCAUUAACCCUGUUCCCCUCUACCAACAACAUAAAAAUAAAAUGACAAUUCCACUCCACAAAACAAAUAACCCUUUUACCAACAGCAAUCGUACUAUCCACAAUACUCCUACCUCUUACACCAGCACUCUUUAUCCUACUAUAAGGGUUUAGGUUAAAUAAGACCAAGAGCCUUCAAAGCCCUAAGCAAGUAUAAUUUUACUUAACCCCUGCCCAAUAAGGAUUGCAAGACCAUAUCUCACAUCAAUUGAAUGCAAAUCAAACACUUUAAUUAAGCUAAAUCCUCACUAGAUUGGAGGGAUACAUCUCCCACGAACUUUUAGUUAACAGCUAAAUACCCUAAUAAACUGGCUUCAAUCUACUCCCGCCGCGAGAAAAAAAGGCGGGAGAAGUCCCGGCAGGAUUGAAGCUGAUUCUUUGAAUUUGCAAUUCAAAAUGAUUAUUCACCACAGGACUUGGCAAAAAGAGGACUUUACCCCUGUCUUUAGAUUUAUAGUCUAAUGCCUACUCGGCCAUUUUACCUAUGUUCAUAAACCGAUGACUAUUCUCUACCAAUCACAAAGACAUUGGUACUCUGUAUUUACUAUUUGGCGCCUGGGCAGGAAUAGUGGGUACUGGUCUAAGCUUGUUGAUUCGUGCUGAAUUAGGUCAACCUGGCACACUUAUCGGAGACGACCAACUUUAUAAUGUUCUAGUAACAGCUCACGCCUUCGUAAUAAUUUUCUUUAUGGUUAUACCUAUCAUAAUUGGGGGAUUUGGAAACUGACUAGUUCCCUUGAUAAUUGGAGCCCCUGACAUAGCAUUCCCUCGUCUAAACAACAUAAGCUUCUACUUCCCCCUUCCUUUCUACUACUGAUAGCAUCUUCAAUAAUUGAAGCCGGCGCAGGAACAGGCUGAACUGUAUAUCCUCCUCUAGCCGGAAAUCUAGCACACGCAGGAGCCUCAGUAGACCUUACUAUUUUCUCUCUACAUUUAGCCGGUGUAUCUUCAAUCCUUGGGGCUAUUAACUUCAUUACAACUAUUAUUAAUAUAAAACCACCCGCUAUAACCCAAUACCAAACACCUCUCUUCGUCUGAUCAGUCUUGGUCACAGCAGUCUUACUCUUACUAUCACUACCCGUCUUAGCAGCCGGAAUUACUAUACUAUUAA
Long non-coding RNA from Lagenorhynchus albirostris (white-beaked dolphin), 2405 nucleotides. RefSeq lists it as uncharacterized. The transcript has 2 exons. Lineage: Eukaryota; Metazoa; Chordata; Mammalia; Artiodactyla; Delphinidae. The record is from RefSeq and is a predicted model, not a curated record.